This 460-nucleotide ribosomal RNA is filed under the name uncultured bacterium. Its description in RNAcentral is "partial 16S ribosomal RNA". It matches the Rfam family "Bacterial small subunit ribosomal RNA", at positions 338 to 795 of the family's 1533-position model. The record is from RNAcentral.
CCUACGGGGGGCUGCAGUGAGGAAUAUUGGUCAAUGGACGAGAGUCUGAACCAGCCAAGUAGCGUGAAGGAUGACUGCCCUAUGGGUUGUAAACUUCUUUUAUAUGGGAAUAAAAUGUUCCACGUGUGGCAUUUUGUAUGUACCUUAUGAAUAAGGAUCGGCUAACUCCGUGCCAGCAGCCGCGGUAAUACGGAGGAUCCGAGCGUUAUCCGGAUUUAUUGGGUUUAAAGGGAGCGUAGGUGGGUUGUUAAGUCAGUUGUGAAAGUUUGCGGAUCAACCGUAAAAUUGCAAUUGAAACUGGCAGUCUUGAGUACAGUUGAGGUGGGCGGAAUUCGUGGUGUAGCGGUGAAAUGCUUAGAUAUCACGAAGAACUCCGAUUGCGAAGGCAGUUCACUGGACUGCAACUGACACUGAGGCUCGAAAGUGUGGGUAUCAAACAGGAUUAGAUACCCCUGUAGUC